This 497-nucleotide ribosomal RNA is filed under the name uncultured bacterium. RNAcentral describes it as "partial 16S ribosomal RNA". It matches the Rfam family "Bacterial small subunit ribosomal RNA", at positions 28 to 507 of the family's 1533-position model. The record is from RNAcentral.
GACGAACGCUGGCGGCGUGCCUAAUACAUGCAAGUUGAGCGCUGAAGGUUGGUACUUGUACCAACUGGAUGAGCAGCGAACGGGUGAGUAACGCGUGGGGAAUCUGCCUUUGAGCGGGGGACAACAUUUGGAACCGAAUGCUAAUACCGCAUAAAAACUUUAAACACAAGUUUUAAGUUUGAAAGAUGCAAUUGCAUCACUCAAAGAUGAUCCCGCGUUGUAUUAGCUAGUUGGUGAGGUAAAGGCUCACCAAGGCGAUGAUACAUAGCCGACCUGAGAGGGUGAUCGGCCACAUUGGGACUGAGACACGGCCCAAACUCCUACGGGAGGCAGCAGUAGGGAAUCUUCGGCAAUGGACGAAAGUCUGACCGAGCAACGCCGCGUGAGUGAAGAAGGUUUUCGGAUCGUAAAACUCUGUUGGUAGAGAAGAACGUUGGUGAGAGUGGAAAGCUCAUCAAGUGACGGUAACUACCCAGAAAGGGACGGCUAACUACGUG